AAGGCUUGACAUGCACCGGACGGCCGCAGAAAUGUGGCUUUCUUCGGACUGGUGCACAGGUGGUGCAUGGUUGUCGUCAGCUCGUGUCGUGAGAUGUUGGGUUAAGUCCCGCAACGAGCGCAACCCUCGUUCCAUGUUGCCAGCGCGUAAUGGCGGGGACUCAUGGGAGACUGCCGGGGUCAACUCGGAGGAAGGUGGGGACGACGUCAAAUCAUCAUGCCCCUUAUGUCUUGGGCUUCACGCAUGCUACAAUGGCCGGUACAAUGGGUUGCGAAACUGUGAGGUGGAGCGAAUCCCAAAAAGCCGGUCUCAGUUCGGAUUGGGGUCUGCAACUCGACCCCAUGAAGUCGGAGUCGCUAGUAAUCGCAGAUCAGCAACGCUGCGGUGAAUACGUUCCCGGGCC
RNAcentral lists this ribosomal RNA (403 nucleotides) under uncultured bacterium. Its description in RNAcentral is "bacterial SSU rRNA". It matches the Rfam family "Bacterial small subunit ribosomal RNA", at positions 976 to 1380 of the family's 1533-position model. The record is from RNAcentral.